CUAUCAGAGGGGAAUAACAGUGAGAAAUCAUUGCUAAUACCGCAUAUGCUUACACUAUCGCAUGAUAGAGUAAGGAAAGGAGCAAUCUGCUGAUAGGUGGGCUUGCGUCUGAUUAGCUAGUUGGUGAGGUAACGGCUUACCAAGGCGACGAUCAGUAGCCGGACUGAGAGGUUGAACGGCCACAUUGGGACUGAGAUACGGCCCAGACUCCUACGGGAGGCAGCAGUCGGGAAUAUUGCACAAUGGGGGAAACCCUGAUGCAGCGACGCCGCGUGGAGGAAGAAGGUCUUCGGAUUGUAAACUCCUGUCGUAAGGGACGAUAAUGACGGUACCUUACAAGAAAGCCACGGCUAACUACGUGCCAGCAGCCGCGGUAAAACGUAGGUGGCAAGCGUUGUCCGGAAUUACUGGGUGUAAAGGGAGCGCAGGCGGACCGGCAAGUUGGAAGUGAAAUCUAUGGGCUCAACCCAUAAAUUGCUUUCAAAACUGCUGGCCUUGAGUAGUGCAGAGGUAGGCGGAAUUCCCGGUGUAGCGGUGGAAUGCGUAGAUAUCGGGAGGAACACCAGUGGCGAAGGCGGCCUGCUGGACAUUAACUGACGCUGAGGCGCGAAAGCGUGGGGAGCAAACAGGAUUAGAUACCCUGGUAGUCCACGCCGUAAACGAUGGAUACUAGGUGUGGGAGGUAUUGACCCCUUCCGUGCCGGAGU
This 707-nucleotide ribosomal RNA is filed under the name uncultured bacterium. Its description in RNAcentral is "bacterial SSU rRNA". It matches the Rfam family "Bacterial small subunit ribosomal RNA", at positions 130 to 852 of the family's 1533-position model. The record is from RNAcentral.